CCCGCCUGCUGUGUUGGUUCAUUGUGGUCUGUGUGUUAUGGUCCCCUGUGACGUCUUCUCCUGCUCCUUGCGAUACCCUUGUGUUUUCUUUUGUGGACUUUUAUUUUAAGACGGCUGAAGAGAGACAGGAGUGGGAGGAAGACAUGCAGCAAUUCGUCGACUAGAAGUUGAACCAGCUAGGCCAACAGCGCCCCUUUGUAGUUGUUUUUAAGGCCGCUGAGGAGCAGGUGCAGCUAGCAGGGGUUACGGUGUCAAUCUUGUCAUCCAUGUAAGAAUCUCAACUCUGCCAUCUUUAAAAUGUAUCAUCAAUCCAGCAUCAGACAAAUAUACAAACCUCAUGAAACUCCAGCGGAGUUGGCUCAGCCCACACUCUUAAAGCGUAAAAAACCAGAGAGCGAAUUGUUUCCCGGGACAGCUGAGAGGAAGACGGGUACGAAUGCAACCUAAGGACAGAGACAGAGAGAGAACACAGACGACUUAAAGAAAAUGUGUGUUCUUUUGAAGACAGAGAAGUGACUUCACAUAAGUAUUGCACAGCUUUUGAAGCAUCACAAGACAUGUGGAAACUGUUAAAUGCACCUAAAUGUCUACUGCAAAGCAAAAGGAUCUCUGUGUGGUAUUGCUUUUAGCACAUAUGAAUAAGAUAUUAAGCAUUUAGUGGGGCCACAUUGUCCCCUUUCCAUGAAAAUGAGCUUCAUUAAAAAACACUUGUACAA
Molecule: long non-coding RNA, 716 nt
Organism: Notolabrus celidotus (New Zealand spotty)
Lineage: Eukaryota; Metazoa; Chordata; Actinopteri; Labriformes; Labridae
Exons: 2
Source: RefSeq, a predicted model, not a curated record